RNAcentral lists this ribosomal RNA (241 nucleotides) under uncultured bacterium. RNAcentral's name for it is "partial 16S ribosomal RNA". It matches the Rfam family "Bacterial small subunit ribosomal RNA", at positions 99 to 334 of the family's 1533-position model. The record is from RNAcentral.
CGAAUGGGUGCGUAACACGUAGGUGACCUGCCCAGAAGUGUGGAAUAACAGUCCGAAAGGACUGCUAAUACCGCAUGUGGCGCGCGGGGUUAGAGGCCCGCACGCGAAAGGUCCGUAAGGAUCGCUUCUGGAGGGGCCUGCGGCCCAUCAGUUAGUUGGUAGGGUAAUGGCCUACCGAGACUACGACGGGUAGGGGACCUCAGGGGGUGGCCCCCCACACUGGCACUGACACACGGGCCAG